GGGAGUGUGUAUAUGGGUGGCUUAUGUAUGUUUUCGUAUCACAGUUAGGUUUACUUUAUAAACAGAAUUUAGAAGUUUCCUUCUUUUUCUGUGCUUUGGAACAGAAUCAAAAGCAGCCUGCUCAUCCGUUCCUAAAGGUUUCACAACAGAAUUCCCCCAGUGAAAUAAUUUCCGUCUGGUGUUUUUGUGAAUAGUGAUGGGGGGAGUACAGUUCUCUGACAAUGUCUAUUGCUUCUGUGAUCAUUGGUCUGCUUAGAAUUUCUGUCUCUUCUGGGAUGUUUGUGUAAAUCAUAUUUUCUUGAAACAUCAUCCAUUUCAUCCAGGGUUUCAAAUUUAUUUUCAUAGAGUUGAAGAAAGAAAUCUUUUAUAAUUGUUUUCUUUUUUUCUGUAUCUAUGAUUACUUCACCUUAUUUGAUGUUUUGAAUGUGCUUUUGCCCUUUGUUUUCUGGUUGUUAAUUUUAUUCUACUGCUGCUUUUCCAACUCUUAGGUUUGUUAGAAUACUCGGUUCUGUUCUCUAAAUCAUUAAUUCAUUCUUUCAUUCUUACUAAUUCUUUUCUCCUGUUUUUCUUAGGUUUUUAUUUUUUCCUCAUCUUCUGAAUUGGUUAUUUUCUAUUUUCCUUUGAGGACUACUUUAGAGCGCCACACAAGCGCUGAUGUUCUUUCUGUCCUGUCAGCUUGGUUUUGAGUGGAUCGAAAGUAGGAAUUUUAAUGACUUUUUUUUUGGACAGGAAUCCCACACUCAUUUUUAUCCCACAUCACCGCCUCCCCCUCUUUCUCCUCGGAGCUGUUUUAAUGAUGAAGGUCGCCGAGGAGGUUCUUCGCCCUGGCGCGGGAGGCGGCAGGAGAGGCCUCCCGUGGCCUCCGCCUCUUUCUCGCCCCGCAGGCGGCGGGAGGCACCGGCUGCGCAGGGGGCGCGCGGAGGCUGAGCCACGCAGAGCUCCCCGCCGGGUGCGGGACCCGCAGGCGCGGGCUCGGGCGCUGCACGCCCGCGGGCACGCGCACUCCCGGGUGACGGCGCAGACGCCGCGGCCCGCGGCCUCCUGGGUUUGGAUUCCUGCUGGCUCUCACCUGGACGGGGCCGGGGGAGGUGAAGAUGCUCCAGACGCAGAGUUGAGGCCUGAUUCGGGGAUAUCUGGGGCGCUGUGGUACAUUAGAGAGCACGGCGGCGGCUCUGCCGCGUCGGUGCUGCUGGCGGCGGAGAGGAACCCUUCGCGGCGUCUCCCGAGCCUGCUGCGCGCGGAGAUCCAAAAAGUAAUUCAGGCACUUGCCGACCAAAUGGGAGCAACUCCUCUUGCCUGCACUAUAGAAUCCAUUUUCAAAGUGAAAUGCAAAAACUGCAGGCUGAGGCAAUACUUGCUACUGUGGUUCUCCAGGGAGAACAUUAGAUGCACGAAAGAAAAAAAAUUUUAUAUUAUGGAAGUCAUCAGAAAAUUCAUGAGAGAUCCAUAUCAAAUACUGGUGAAGAAAGAAGACUUGGCCCUUGAAAGGAUCAUGGUUUACAAUAAUUUUGAAAGAGGGUGGGGACAUGGACCAGAAGGAAAGAGAUUUAUCAGGAGGCAAUUGAGAUUAGGGACCAGCUGAGUUUUGAUGGUUACUGACUUACUGAAUUGGCAGUGGGGAUUGAUUUGGAAGGAACGCUGUGGCCAUAAAUGUUGAAGAAGGCAAGAGGAUUCUUUGUGACAUUGAGUCUUUCUCUAACACUACGGUGGAGGAAAUGCCAAUGAAUGUGGUCAACGUUUCUUAAUUCCUGGGAUGAGAUGAUUUCAAAUGCAGUACUCACUGUUGCUCACUAGGCGAUCACAAUGUGCACUGUGCUCCCUUCUUUGGGGAUAUCUGAAGCUUGUCUCAAUGCUCAAAAUGGACCUGAAAUACAGAUUUUGAUUUCAAAGUGACUACAGUCAUGAGCUUUUGUGAAGAAAGUCAUUGACAUUCUUCUUCUGAGAGUUAGAUUGUUGGGGCUGGAUAUAAUAGAUGGGAGAUCUGUAAAAAUCUUUCUUUCUUAGAAAUGUACCCCCUUAUUCUGUAGAAAUGGUUGUAUUGGGUGUUCUUGAUAAUAUACUUGUGAACUAAUAUAUAUAAGUGCUGUAGUCAUUAGUUAGUCAUUAUUCUGAAUAGAAAAGACUUUAAAAUGACUCUUUUUAAAAAAAAUACUUUGAUUCAUUUUGUUUGGUAUUGUGUUCUUAAUUCAGUAAAGGAUCUUCUUCAGUGCUAAGUGUGAACUGGAUCCUUUUGCUAAGCACCAGCCAACAAUCUAUACUAAGGUUAAAUCCCAGAAAUAUUGCCAUACUGUAUAUUACAUGUUCAAUAAAUUAUAAUAAAGGGUCUUUUACAGUGGUUUGGCCUUUAUUCC
Dasypus novemcinctus (nine-banded armadillo) is the source of this 2351-nucleotide long non-coding RNA. The record is from Ensembl. Lineage: Eukaryota; Metazoa; Chordata; Mammalia; Cingulata; Dasypodidae.